This is a non-coding RNA of Cyanistes caeruleus (blue tit), 685 nucleotides long. The record is from RefSeq and is a predicted model, not a curated record. Lineage: Eukaryota; Metazoa; Chordata; Aves; Passeriformes; Paridae.
ACCCAACUCAACUUGUGGGAGUUCCAGUUGUCUGAUAACAGCAACUCUGUUGGAAAAGAAAUUGUCUUACUCCUCUAGUAUUUAUUAUUUUUUCAGAUUUACUAUUCACUGUCUAAACCCAUUACUUUGUGCCAUUUAUUUCAUGCUGCGAAGUAAGAAAAUAAUGAUGCAAAAAGCCAGCUUGUGUUACAACAGCUCCACAGAACAAAGAAUAAAGGACAUUUGGUGCCAGUCUUGCCGUGACUCCUCACAAAGGAUGACUUCAUGAUUUCAUUGGGAUUUUCCCCAUGUCUUCCGUGAUGUGACAUAGAUAAGUAUUUUGGGAAAUUUGGAAAUUAAACACUCUCAAGAAAGAUUUCAUGGAAGCUGAAAUCUACUUCCUUCAAACUUUUCUGGAAGGAUUUUGCUUUCCCUUUUGCCAGACACUGAAGAGAGCCAUAAACAGAAGAGAGACAUUGGCUUCCUGUUCCAGCCACUUGUCCUCAGCAGUCUAAAAUCAGCAUGAUGAACCUUUCAGCUGUUGCUGCAAUAUGCUACAGAAGUGGAGGCCUUCUGUCAACUUCUAGAAGAGUUACUGGAAGAUCAGAAAGACCACAUUAAUUUAUCUGUCUAUCCCCUGACUAGAGGAUGAAUCUGAAAAUUUAAAAAUGUUCCUUAAAAUAUAGAGUCAAAAUAACUGUUUUAA